Molecule: ribosomal RNA, 459 nt
Filed under: uncultured bacterium
Lineage: Bacteria
Description: partial 16S ribosomal RNA
Rfam family: Bacterial small subunit ribosomal RNA
Source: RNAcentral
CCUACGGGAGGCAGCAGUGAGGAAUAUUGGUCAAUGGCCGAAAGUCUGAACCAGCCAAGCCGCGUGAAGGACGAAGGUGCCAAGCAUUGUAAACUUCUUUUGUCAAGGAACAAAAUCAGGCUCGAGAGCCUGACCGCGGGUACUUUAAGAAGAAGGAUCGGCUAACUCCGUGCCAGCAGCCGCGGUAAUACGGAGGAUCCGAGCGUUAUCCGGAUUUAUUGGGUUAAAAGGGUGCGUAGGGGGAAUGUUAAGUCAGCGGGAAAAGCCCGGGGCCAAACCCCGGCGAGCCGUUGAAGCUGGCGGUCUGGAGAUGUCGAGAGGGAUGCGGAAUGCGAAGUGUAGCGGUGAAAUGCUUAGAUAUUGCGAAGAACUCCGAUUGCGAAGGCAGCAUACCGGCGGCGAUCUGACGCUGAGGCACGAAAGCGUGGGUAUCGAACAGGAUUAGAUACCCUUGUAGUC